UCACCAAAAAUCGUGAAAAAAAACAUUUCACGGAUCUGGGUUUUUCCAAAGUUUUGAAUUUUGGUGACCUAAAAUUUAUCUUAACAAUAUUUAGGUAUGAUAUUGGAAAUGUUCUAUCUUACAUGUUUUUGUAAGUUCAUUAACAAUUAUUACCAAUUGUUACGUCGUGUUAUUCAUCUAGUAUUUUUUAAUUAGGUGAAAUAAUUCAAUCUAUUUUAA
Molecule: unclassified non-coding RNA, 219 nt
Filed under: Acaulospora viridis
Lineage: Eukaryota; Fungi; Glomeromycota; Glomeromycetes; Diversisporales; Acaulosporaceae
Description: partial internal transcribed spacer 2
Source: RNAcentral